CCGGCUGUAAUCCACCCUGCUACAGUGAUGCCCGCCUGCCUCCCGGCUUUUACGACCAAGAAUCGGAGCGCUGAUGUGAUGUUUCCCCGUCGACUGAUGAGGGAAGGAAGAGAAGGCAGCCACGACACGCGAUUGUUCAACAUGACAGUGAGACAGAAAAAUAAUGUCAAGAUAAAUAAAAAAUCAUGAUGAGUGAA
Long non-coding RNA from Engraulis encrasicolus (European anchovy), 197 nucleotides. RefSeq lists it as uncharacterized. The record is from RefSeq and is a predicted model, not a curated record. NCBI's taxonomy places the organism in Eukaryota, Metazoa, Chordata, Actinopteri, Clupeiformes, Engraulidae. The transcript is spliced from 2 exons.